UCACUUUACAUUACAACCGAA
RNAcentral lists this non-coding RNA (21 nucleotides) under Caenorhabditis elegans. The record is from RNAcentral. Lineage: Eukaryota; Metazoa; Nematoda; Chromadorea; Rhabditida; Rhabditidae.